GCGCACGGGNGAGUAAUAUAUAGAUAACGCGCCUCUUAGUCUGGGAUAGCCAUUGGAAACGAUGAUUAAUACUAGAUACUCCUUCUUAUUCCAAUAUAAGUUGGGAAAGUUUUUCGCUAAGAGAUCGGUCUAUAUCCCAUCAGCUUGUUGGUAGUGUAAGAGACUACCAAGGCAAUGACGGGUAGCGGGUUUGAGAGGAUGAUCCGCCACACUGGUACUGAGACACGGACCAGACUCCUACGGGAGGCAGCAGUGAGGAAUAUUGCACAAUGGGGGAAACCCUGAUGCAGCAACGCCGCGUGGAGGAUGACGCAUUUCGGUGUGUAAACUCCUUUUAUAUGUCAAGAAAAUGACGGUAGCAUAUGAAUAAGCACCGGCUAACUCCGUGCCAGCAGCCGCGGUAAUACGGAGGGUGCAAGCGUUAUUCGGAAUCACUGGGCGUAAAGGACGCGUAGGCGGGAAGCCAAGUCUGAUGUGAAAUCCUAUGGCUUAACCAUAGAACUGCAUUGGAAACUGGUUACCUAGAGUAUGGG
RNAcentral lists this ribosomal RNA (533 nucleotides) under uncultured bacterium. RNAcentral describes it as "bacterial SSU rRNA". It matches the Rfam family "Bacterial small subunit ribosomal RNA", at positions 98 to 652 of the family's 1533-position model. The record is from RNAcentral.